UACGGAGGGUGCAAGCGUUGCUCGGAAUUACUGGGCGUAAAGAGCGUGUAGGCGGUCGAUUAAGUCAGGUGUGAAAGCCCUUGGCUCAACCAAGGAAGUGCAUCUGAAACUGAUAGACUUGAGUACGGGAGAGGAGAGUGGAAUUCCUGGUGUAGAGGUGAAAUUCGUAGAUAUCAGGAGGAACACCGGUGGCGAAGGCGACUCUCUGGACCGAUACUGACGCUGAGACGAGAAAGCGUGGGGAGCAAACAGG
This 253-nucleotide ribosomal RNA is filed under the name uncultured bacterium. Its description in RNAcentral is "partial 16S ribosomal RNA". It matches the Rfam family "Bacterial small subunit ribosomal RNA", at positions 524 to 776 of the family's 1533-position model. The record is from RNAcentral.